RNAcentral lists this ribosomal RNA (466 nucleotides) under uncultured Pseudomonadota bacterium. RNAcentral describes it as "bacterial SSU rRNA". It matches the Rfam family "Bacterial small subunit ribosomal RNA", at positions 438 to 896 of the family's 1533-position model. The record is from RNAcentral. Lineage: Bacteria; Pseudomonadati; Pseudomonadota.
GUCCGGAACGAAACGGAUGACGUGAAUAUCGUCGUCUACUGACGGUACCGGAAGAAUAAGCACCGGCUAACUACGUGCCAGCAGCCGCGGUAAUACGUAGGGUGCGAGCGUUAAUCGGAAUUACUGGGCGUAAAGCGUGCGCAGGCGGUUUUGUAAGCCAGAUGUGAAAUCCCCGGGCUUAACCUGGGAAUGGCAUUUGGGACUGCAAGGCUGGAGUUUGGCAGAGGAGACUGGAAUUCCCGGUGUAGCAGUGAAAUGCGUAGAUAUCGGGAGGAAUACCGAUGGCGAAGGCAGGUCUCUGGGCUAUAACUGACGCUCAUGCACGAAAGCGUGGGGAGCAAACAGGAUUAGAUACCCUGGUAGUCCACGCCCUAAACGAUGUCGACUGGUUGUUGGGGGUUUGACACUCUCAGUAACGAAGCUAACGCGUGAAGUCGACCGCCUGGGGAGUACGGCCGCAAGGUUA